CAGCAGCCGCGGGAAUACGUAGGUCCCGAGCGUUGUCCGGAUUUAUUGGGCGUAAAGCGAGCGCAGGCGGUUAGAUAAGUCUGAAGUUAAAGGCUGUGGCUUAACCAUAGUACGCUUUGGAAACUGUUUAACUUGAGUGCAGAAGGGGAGAGUGGAAUUCCAUGUGUAGCGGUGAAAUGCGUAGAUAUAUGGAGGAACACCGGUGGCGAAAGCGGCUCUCUGGUCUGUAACUGACGCUGAGGCUCGAAAGCGUGGGGAGCAAACAGGAUUAGAUACCCCGGUAGUCCCUGUCUCUUAUACA
This 301-nucleotide ribosomal RNA is filed under the name uncultured bacterium. RNAcentral's name for it is "partial 16S ribosomal RNA". It matches the Rfam family "Bacterial small subunit ribosomal RNA", at positions 509 to 808 of the family's 1533-position model. The record is from RNAcentral.